GAUCGCGUCAAAUGAUUCGGUACUGUGUGAAGAUAAUGGUGAAAAAGAUGCGUUUGACGAUUUGAAGAAGGAGCUUGAUAAUAUUGAAGCUCAAUAUCUUUGCUGGUACAAUGAACUACAAAAGUUUAGAGAAGCAGCAAUUGAAGAUGCAAAGAGGAAAUGGAAUUUGAAGAACAAAGAUGCAAGGAGUUUGUUUGAACUUGAGAGUCUCGAUAAGAAAAACGACAUAAAAUGUGAAAGGAAUGAAGAGAACACCGUCACGCUACCCUUACCCUUGAGAAUAGCCGAUUUUAGUGGUGGCGCAAAGCGGAAAUGAGAUUUGAAGAACAAAUGUCAAAGUUUGGUAUAGAAACUAACUCAGCUAUAGGUCUAACU
This is a long non-coding RNA of Helianthus annuus (common sunflower), 375 nucleotides long. RefSeq lists it as uncharacterized. NCBI's taxonomy places the organism in Eukaryota, Viridiplantae, Streptophyta, Magnoliopsida, Asterales, Asteraceae. The transcript is spliced from 3 exons. The record is from RefSeq and is a predicted model, not a curated record.